AUUAAGAUACAGUUGAGAAAGAAUGAACUGUCUUUCAGCAAGAACAUUGCUAACUGGAAGACUGAAAAUGUGCUUGGCAUAGAACUCAAACAGAUCUGACUGGAAUUUCAAGAAGCUUUAAAACUGAAUACCAGAAAGGACUUUGGUAUCUCUGAUCAGCUCCCAUUCCAAACAACUUGGGAAAAGUUAACCACUCUGCUCCAUGAUCUUUGAUUACUUUGAUUGCUUCUUGUAACAUUGGCCUCUGCACUUGUUUGUGAAAGUGGUUGAUAGCUGCUGGGUCCUUCAAUGACAUCUUCACCUGUUGUGAUGUUAAAGGAAAAUAUUCUGCAGGAGACAUCAACAUUUUACUUAAAGUUUCAUGGUGCUUCAGAACAGUUGCUGGCCAUAACCUUGCUAGGUAACCACUGGAGAAUCCAAGUUCUGCAUCACUAGCUUGGGAUGUAUUCAGAGAUGGGAUGAUAAACUUAUCGAGGAAUUCAAACAAAGACUUGAUUUCAACUUGAAUCAUAAGACUGGAGCUCAGCUUAAUGACAUCUUGCCAAAUAGUCUGGUGGCAAUCUGAUUUUGGCAAUCUUUCAAGGAGACACUCAGCAAGCUGUAAACAAGCUUUUCCAUACUUAAGAUACCACUGGAGAGUUUCAUGAUAAUAUGUCCACCUUGUGUCUAUGAAUGUCUGGGGAAGGGGUGGCUCUUUACUUAGAAUACCAAGAGAAACAUACAUAACUUUGCAUUGGCUUGGACGCUCAUGAUGGAGCCAAGAUAUUUUAUAGAGUAAUUGUAAGACAUGGGGGUUGCUCAUGUCACCCUUGGCCCCAAACCCAGCCUGGCACAUUCUUCUCAGCAUAAUGUUUAGUACAUGUGGGUAGCAUCCUACAAAAAACAUCUCUUUUCCAAAAAUUCUGGCAUUGUUAGCUAAAAGACCAUUUACUUUUCCCUUUUGGGUAGAGGCAUCGUCCCCAACCAACCCUGAAACAUUGGUAAUAUCAUAUUCAUUUUUUACAACAUGGUAAUCUACAUCAGACUGGUGUUUUCCAGACCUGCUUGCUGUUAGGCUGUUUGCAAAGACAUAAGCUCGUGGCUUGCUCUCUAAGGGACACCAGGUGUGAACACCCACUACGUGCCUCUCCUCUCCUCCUUUGUGGGAGUCAUCACUCCAGAGAUGAAAAUCAUACUUGGAAUUUGAAAAGCGCUUGCGUAAAAUUAGUUUGUCAGCUUCACCCAAAAGAACAUUCCAGUCAGAAAGUGUAGUUGGAGAGACAAUGAAGUUUGUUGGGGGUUACAAUUGAACAAAAAAUCAGAUGUAAUGCUACAGGUGUCUUUUGAUAUGAUAACAAAGAUGCAUGUUGCAUGUAUCUGACACAAGCCAUAAACAUCAAGGUCCUUUGGUUGUGUCCAUUGUGACCAUGAGCAAAUGUUGCCCUGUAAUUUCUGUUUUAGCUUUGAAGAAGCAGAUCUUGUCCCCCUUAGCUUGUGUCUGACUUGUUUUUCCUUUUUUUCAGUAGACGUCAGAUUUUUUUGACACUUUUUAAGUUGAGUUUGAAGCCUCAACACGUCCUCUUUCAAUUGGAUGUUCCUUCCUUUUACAAAUACUGAAAUUAUGAAAAGGUGACACAAUAAAAAUUAGUUAAAUGUAACUGAUUUCACAUGAUAGAGUAUUGAAACAGAAUACAAAGUUAAAAUGUCCUACCAGAAAUCUUAUCGACCAGGCAUAUUUAGAAUGUGUAGUUUAAAUUUGGCAAAAACAUUGUUAUCACAAUUGCAAGGUUGAAUAAUUGAAACUAUUGUGUUUCCACGGUGAUCCGUACGCAGAUAAUUUUGUUCACGUUGAUAAAAACUUCUAACACAA
This 1849-nucleotide long non-coding RNA is filed under the name Pocillopora damicornis (cauliflower coral). RNAcentral's name for it is "uncharacterized LOC113676543". The record is from RNAcentral. Lineage: Eukaryota; Metazoa; Cnidaria; Anthozoa; Scleractinia; Pocilloporidae.